This 253-nucleotide ribosomal RNA is filed under the name uncultured bacterium. RNAcentral describes it as "partial 16S ribosomal RNA". It matches the Rfam family "Bacterial small subunit ribosomal RNA", at positions 524 to 776 of the family's 1533-position model. The record is from RNAcentral.
UACGUAGGGUGCAAGCGUUGUCCGGAAUUAUUGGGCGUAAAGGGCUCGUAGGCGGUCCAUCGCGUCGGGAGUGAAAAGCUGGGGCUUAACCCCAGUCCUGCUUCCGAUACGGGUGGACUAGAGGUAGGUAGGGGAGAACGGAAUUCCUGGUGUAGCGGUGAAAUGCGCAGAUAUCAGGAGGAACACCGGUGGCGAAGGCGGGACUCUGGGCCGAUACUGACGCUGAGGAGCGAAAGCGUGGGGAGCGAACAGG